Molecule: ribosomal RNA, 497 nt
Filed under: uncultured bacterium
Lineage: Bacteria
Description: partial 16S ribosomal RNA
Rfam family: Bacterial small subunit ribosomal RNA
Source: RNAcentral
GAUGAACGCUGGCGGCGUGCCUAAUACAUGCAAGUCGAGCGAACGGACGAGAAGCUUGCUUCUCUGAUGUUAGCGGCGGACGUGGGAGUAACACGUGGAUAACCUACCUAUAAGACUGGGAUAACUUCGGGAAACCGGAGCUAAUCCCGGAUAAGAUUUUGAACCGCAUGGUUCAAAAGUGAAAUACGGUGUUUGUGUCACUUAUAGAUGGAUCCGCGCUGCAUUAGGUAGUUGGUAAGGUAACGGCUUACCAAGGCAACGAUGCAUAGCCGACGUGAGGGGGUGAUCGGCCACAGUAGAACUGAGACACGGUCCAGACUCCUACGGGACGCAGCAGUAGGGAAUCUUCCGCAAUGGGCGAAAGCAUGACGGAGCAACGCCGCGUGAGUGAUGAAGGUCUUCGGAUCGUGAAACUCUGUUAUUAGGGAAGAACAUAUGUGUAAGUAACUGUGCACAUAUUGACGGUACCUAAUCAGAAAGCAACGGCUAACUACGUG